This 460-nucleotide ribosomal RNA is filed under the name uncultured bacterium. Its description in RNAcentral is "partial 16S ribosomal RNA". It matches the Rfam family "Bacterial small subunit ribosomal RNA", at positions 338 to 795 of the family's 1533-position model. The record is from RNAcentral.
CCUACGGGUGGCAGAAGUGAGGAAUAUUGGUCAAUGGACGCAAGUCUGAACCAGCCAUGCCGCGUGCAGGAAGACGGCUCUAUGAGUUGUAAACUGCUUUUGUACGAGGGUAAACGCAGAUACGCGUAUCUGUCUGAAAGUAUCGUACGAAUAAGGAUCGGCUAACUCCGUGCCAGCAGCCGCGGUAAUACGGAGGAUUCAAGCGUUAUCCGGAUUUAUUGGGUUUAAAGGGUGCGUAGGCGGUCGGAUAAGUUAGAGGUGAAAUCCCGAGGCUCAACUUCGGAAUUGCCUCUGAUACUGUUCGGCGAGAGAGUAGUUGCGGUAGGCGGAAUGUAUGGUGUAGCGGUGAAAUGCUUAGAGAUCAUACAGAACACCGAUUGCGAAGGCAGCUUACCAAGCUACUGCUGACGUUGAGGCACGAAAGCGUGGGGAGCAAACAGGAUUAGAUACCCUAGUAGUC